Molecule: ribosomal RNA, 1053 nt
Filed under: Triticum aestivum (bread wheat)
Lineage: Eukaryota; Viridiplantae; Streptophyta; Magnoliopsida; Poales; Poaceae
Description: partial small subunit ribosomal RNA
Source: RNAcentral
AUGGCUCUCCCCCUCCACUUCAUGUCAGUGCUCCCACUGCCAGUGUGGGCGAUCAAGGUUAUUGAACGAAGAUGCCGAGGUUUUGUCUGGAAAGGAGAUGAGGAAAUCAACGGGGGGCAUUGUUUACUGCCAUGGACACGGGUCUAUAGGCCAAAGGAGUUGGGUGGCCUCGGCUUGGCCAACCUUAGACUCUUCAGGCUGGCCUUGCAAAGCCGGUGGCCUUGGCUCAGAUGGGCUAAAGAGGAACGACCCUGGCAUAGCUUGCCGGACUCCAUUGAGAAGGAGGUUGGGGCAAUUUUUAAGGCAGCAUGCGCUGUUUUGCUGGGCAACAAUGAGACUGCGAGAUUCUGGACAGACAACUGGUUGCCUGAUGGACGAUCGGCCUGGAUCCAAGAUAUAAGGGGAGGUCUCUUGGUUCAGGCACUCGCGCAAUACCUUGAAAUCUAGGACAUUUCGCAGGCCACGGUACUAACACCUGAAGCUUAUGAUCGCCCGAUCUGGAGGCUAACAGAUAACGUGUUUUCUGUCAGCAGUGCAUAUUGGAUGUUCUUCAUGGCUGGCAUUCGUUUUCCAUGCUACAAACCUAUUUGGAAGUCAAAGGCGCCGCCCCGUUGUCGGUUCUUCAUGUGGCUAGUCGUGCACACGUGAUGCCUCACGGCAGACAACCUGUUGCGUAGAGGCUGGCCAUCCAAUUCUACAUGGCCUCUUUUCAUAGCGGAACCGGAGGACUGCACACAUCUCUUUGUGCACUGCAGAUAUACGUAGCACCUUUGGAGCAUGUUCAGGCAAUGGACGGGUGUGCACUUCUCUAUUCAUGAUGACUCUUGCAAUACCACAGAGGACUGGUGGUUGUCAACAAGGAAGAGCAUCCCCAAGACGAACAGGCGUGAUUUCGACACCAUUGUUAUCCUGGUGCAUUGGAGGAUCUAGAAGGAGCGGAAUGCCAGAAUUUUCCAGCACACGGCCAGCACCGCCAACAGCGUCCUCGACCUGAUUCGUGAUGAUGUUGCUGUGUGGAGGGCAGCUGGGUGUGUUGCAGACAUCUCUGCUUGA